GUGCUACACAUGCAGUCGAACGCGAAAGUCCCCGAAAGGGAUAGUAGGGUGGCAAACGGGUGAGUAACACGUGGGUGACUGCCUUCGAGUGGGGGAUAACGUCCCGAAAGGGACGCUAAUACCGCAUAACAUCCUGUUUUUGAACAAGUGGAGAUCAAAGCUGGGGACCCGCAAGGGCCUGGCGCUUGAAGAGGGGCCCGCGUCUGAUUAGCUAGUUGGUGGGGUAACGGUCACCAAGGCAAGAUCAGUAUCCGGCCUGAGAGGGCGGACGGACACACUGGGACUGAGACACGGCCCAGACUCCUACGGGAAGCAGCAGUGGGGAAUUGUUCGCAAUGGGCGCAAGCCUGACGACGCAACGCCGCGUGGAGGAUGAAGACCUUCGGGUCGUAAACUCCUUUCGAUCGAGACGAACGGCUCCGGGUGAAUAGCUUCGGAGGAAUGACGGUACCGAGAGAAGAAGCCCCGGUAACUCCGUGCCAGCAGCCGGGUAAUCACGCAGGGCGCCCAACGCGUUGUCCGGCAAUCUCUCCGCCCGUAAAGGGCGCGUAGGCGGUGCGGUAAGUCACUGUGAAACUCUAGGCUUAACCUAGAGCCUUGCAGGCGAAACUGCCGUGCUUGAGGGUGGGAGAGGUGCGUGGAAUUCCCGGUGUAGCGGUGACCAUGCGUAGAUAUCGGGAGGAACACCUGUGG
This 693-nucleotide ribosomal RNA is filed under the name uncultured bacterium. RNAcentral's name for it is "bacterial SSU rRNA". It matches the Rfam family "Bacterial small subunit ribosomal RNA", at positions 44 to 715 of the family's 1533-position model. The record is from RNAcentral.